GGAUCAUUACUAAUAAAACAAGGUUUAACCACUUCAAUAAAUAGAUCACCUGGAAAGCCUUGCUCUGACCUUCUCAGGUUACUACCCUCCACCCUCUUAUGCAGACCUUCGAUGGGAUAAUAACUUUUCCGAGAGACUUCAACAUCUUUCGGCCAUGUGCAUCACAAUCAUGGGAUUUAAAUAUAUCUGCAUAAGGUAAUUAGUAGCACAUCUGUUAUAAGGUUAUUGAUCUGAAAAUUCUUCGAGUUGCUUGAGUUAUUCAAUUCAUAGUACAUACACAAUUAAAACUACUGUUAGAGAUGUAUCAGAAAGCCAUUCAUGCAUCUUUAUUUAAUAGCGUAAGCCUUUAAGAUAGUUCAUUCAUGAUAUAUGUUAAUUGUAUUAAGAAAAAGAAAAACUAAUUAUGUAUUUUCAACUAACAGCUUAAGCUUUUGAGAUAUCUAGUUCUUGAUGAAACAAAUGUCUACAACAGACAAGUGAGAAGAAAACCAUCAUCUUAACUUAAAUCAAUCACGAAGACCUACCCUCUCAAGCACGGAAACAUUGUAGUUUGUAGCAUAUCAGUGUGCAUGUUUCAAAAAGUUGCCCCCAAAUGAUCAUCAGAAGAUAGUUAUGCUAUGUAACCGGUUUUAGGCUAUAAUAUAACAGGUUAUAUAUAACUGAUUUUGAC
This 670-nucleotide long non-coding RNA is filed under the name Phaseolus vulgaris (common bean). RNAcentral's name for it is "long non-coding RNA (PVUL_LNC003651)". Lineage: Eukaryota; Viridiplantae; Streptophyta; Magnoliopsida; Fabales; Fabaceae. The record is from RNAcentral.